AUCCUUACUUGUCUUCGCAUUUAAUAAUAUUUGCGGAUUAUGGUUGUGUUUUGUGCCACUAAAAGACCCAAAAGUAAUUGAAGACGGAAACACGUUAUCUGAAAUCUCGUUUCCCCUUUCACGCGCUUCUCGAUCCCUCCAUACCUAAUUUGAUUGCCCUUCACAAGCUCUUUAUAUUCAAAAGCCCCACCCCACCAUCGUUGGACUCCGACAUCAAGUUGCAGAACUUCGGUAUUCCAAACUCCAUUGUUGAAAUUCGAUUAUGAUUUUGUUUUUGAUUGCGAUAAUUUGAUUGCCAUUCACAAGUUCCUCAGAGUCGAGAGCCUCAUGGCCAUAGGACUCGGGCUACAAGUUCCUGAACAUCACAUAUCAAAAUUAGGUUUCAAACAUCGCAUAUUCUAAAUUCUGAAACUUCGUUGUCGAAAUUCCAGGUGUGGAUAGAGUAUGCUUGAAGUCUCUUGAUAACUAAAUGUCUACAUGAAGUGGUGCACUUACCUAAACAUCCUACUAAUGUGGAACAAGUAUGACAUUUCUACCCCUAUGAUCUUUUUAGGGUUAGCUACAACAUAAAUCCCUUAGAUUUUUCUCCUUUUUCUUUUUCAAUUUAGAUACUAGUAAAGAAAAGAAGAUACUUUGUUUUUGUCUUUUUGUAUUUUCUUAUAUGGGGUGAAGCAGGGGAAACAACAUAAAACAGAGGGAAAAAAAUAUUGCUGUCAAAGGUAACUUUACUAAAUAAAAGUGUUUAUGAAUAAAUUAAAUAUAACAUAUGAUCCAUUAUUUAUAAUAAGACUAAAAGACUUUAUAUCAAACACAAAACCUAGGAAGCAAAUAAAAGUGUUUCUAAAUUUACCAAUAGUUUAUUCUAUAAAAUUGCAUGGGAAUCCCAAGCUUGGUAAAGGAAAAUCCAAAAAUCAAAUUUGUGAUUGUUUUCACUUGUGGAAAUGCUUUUCAUACAAUUGAAAUGAAUCAAGAUAAUUAAUUAUGAGGAAACUUUAAAGUUGAGGAAUCUUCAACAAGAAUUCCAUGCAUAUCAUAUGGUACCAUUAUUGGUGUCAGGGAGCAUGUUUUUACAGAAAGGUAUAAAUAUUAAAUAAAAAUAAUAAUGUACAAUCAUGAAACUACUUUUGAACCAUUUAUGCAGUGUUUCUUCUUUGGCAUCCUUAUUGUCCAAUCAUGAAACUAGUUUUGUAACUCUUUGACAACGUGUUCUUGCAAGUCCUCUAAAGUAAGCAAAAUUAUUUAAACCUUUUUUGUUCUUUAUCCUAGGGUUAAUUUUGGUAUUUUGGUAAUUUUUUUUGAAAUAUUUUCAGGGUUCGCAUGCAUGAUGGAUAUCCCGAUGCUUUUGAUAGAGUGGUCCAUAUAACUCAAGGUUCUUAGUAUGGAUAUAUACAAACUUGGUCAACACUUUGACUUAUUCCGGAUCAAUUCCUUUUACUUUACAAUAGUUGGAUUUUACUUUUGCACCAUGGUAGUAUGUUACCAAUGAUCACCAUGUACAUAUUUUUUUUAUUGAAAAAUGUAUUUGAUUAGGUCUUUGAGUUUUGUCCACAAAAACUUUGAGAGGUUCCUUAAAGCAUUCAUGGAUAAUCUCCACAUUCCUCUUUCUAAUAGGAAUUCUCUUAAGGUAAUUAAUCAGUUUCUUAUAAAAGAGAAGUUUGAUGAUGCUAGAUAUUAACCCUUCUAGAUUUAGAUUGUAAAGAAUCUUAGAAAAGAAGAUUAUGUUAGUAAUUUGUGAGUUUUUUUACUUAUAUUACAUGACUCUUAUUAGAUGAAAUAUUACAUAUUUACCAUCAUAUUUUGAUGUAUUUUGUUAUUUUCUAUGUAUUAACGAUUUAAUUGUCCA
This is a non-coding RNA of Lactuca sativa (garden lettuce), 1843 nucleotides long. NCBI's taxonomy places the organism in Eukaryota, Viridiplantae, Streptophyta, Magnoliopsida, Asterales, Asteraceae. The record is from RefSeq and is a predicted model, not a curated record.